CCCCCCAAAGGCGAAACUUCAUCUUCUUCAUGGAGGAGCACCCAAAAUAUUUCAGCGGCUAGAACCAAAACUCAGACGCCUAAAAGAUCUGGGAGUGCCUUUAUUAAAAAUAAAAAAAACCACAGACCCCCUUCAUCAUAACAUCUCUCACGCUAAUUACCUACCACCCAACGGCCAGAACACCUUCGAACUCACCUUCACGCAAGCCUGAAAAUCAACCACCCUCCAUUAAUCUCCAUGUUGAACUGUCACUGCUGAUCUCUUCUUCUUCUGCAACUCCCCUGAAAUCAACCUAAAAUCACACACACACAAAGAUCUCCAUCGCGACUGCUCCUUCUUCUUCGUCUAUCGCAGCCACAACAACCUCGAAACCUACUUGAGUGCUUCAAUGUUGGUUCGAGUUUGUUUCCGGUCGCUGGUUUGAGAUUUCCAUCUUAGUCUUCGGCUUACAGUCUGUUCGUGUUUGGCCAUAGUGUUGCGUUCUUCUUAUAACCAGUUGGAAGAUCUUAAUAUAUCGAAAAGAUUCAAAGGUCCGUUGUUAUCUUCUUUAUAUUUUUUCUUGGAUGGUUAAAUAUCUAUAAUCUGUUAUGGCUUGCUAAAUAUUUUUUCGUAGAAGUCAUUUUCACUUAGUUGGUUUCAUGUUUGUUACUUCGUCUUCUUGUUAAUUAAGGAAAUUGCAAAAAAUUAGUUGAAUAAUGAGGGGAUUAGCAAUAAUAGACCAUGUGAAUGUUGGUUGAAAUUUAUUUAAGUUCAACGUACGUUUGUAUCCUACGUGCUUUAUGAGAAAUUUUUAAAACCUUUAAAUCUGAUUUGGUACAUUAGUUAGUGGUUGAUAUCGUGUUUUUGAUUCUUGGUAAAAUUGGCAAAAUCUGGUUAUUUUUGCCUUUUAACGUUAAAUAAAUUAAUGCGUGCCAUGCCAAAUAAAAUCCCUAAUCCCACGGCCCUCAAUUAAUUUUAACUCUUUAGAAAAUCGAGGUGCGCCAUCAGUUGAAUUUUCCAUGGCACUCACAAAUUUGAAAGUGCGUAGUUGCUUUAGACGCGCUAUUUUAAAAAUUACUUACUUAAACUCGAGUGUGCAUUUCAUGUGACCUAAAUCCAAAUCUCAACAACGUUAGAUAAAAUAUGUUGCGGACCGUGGGUGCAUUUCAUGUGGCGUGGUCCAAGGCGUGUUUUAAAUAGCGUUGAAUCUUCUUAAAAAUGAUUAGAAGCGGUUAAUAAUUUAAGAUCUACCAUAGGCUAAAACAUGUAUUAAAAUCAGAUAAUAGGCCAAUUAUAACAGUUGAGCGACCUUGCUAGAACCAUGGAACUCGGGAAUGUCUAACACCUUCUCCCGGGUUAACAGAAUUCCUUACCCGUAUUUUUGUGUUCGCGGACUGUAAUACAAAGUCAACCUUUUCCUCGAUUCGGGAUUUGAACCGGUGACUUGGGACACCAUGAACUAUCCCAAGUGGUGACUCUGAAUGUAAUAAAUAAAUAAUCCCUUUUCAAUUGUCACUUUAAGUUGGAAAAAACUACCUAUAUACUCCCUUACAGGGUGUAUGUAAAAAGGAGGUGUGACAAUCACCAUUGAAGAAUGUCAUUUUGAUAUCCAUUUGAUGAACAUGUAGGUCAUAAAUAGAUUCUAACGCAAAUAUAAUUCCAAUUAAUGUAAUUCUUGCUACCUUUACAUAUGUAUCAAAAUAAUCAAUUCCUUCUUUUUAUCGAAAGCCAUUACCAACUAAUCUAUCUUUGUAAGUAUGUAAAGUCUCAUCAGUAUGAUACUUUCUCUGAAACACCCAGUUACAAUUGAUAGGUUCAGAAAUUGGAGGAAGAUCAACAAGUUUCUAAGUGUGGUUUGAUAUUAUUGGAUCCAUUUCAUCUUUAAUAGCAAAUUUCCAAAAGGCUGCAUCUUUAUAAGCCAUAGCCUCUCUAUAAGUUUUAGGAUCAUCUUCCACUUGAAGAAUAAUUGAAAUUGUUCUCACAAAUGUAUCUUUAUUACUUUCAACAAGCCUAAAAGAAAUAUGUUGAGAGUCAACCUCAUAUGAUCCAAGUAUUUUAGCCUUUCGAACUCUAGUGCUUCUCCUUCGUUCACAAGGAUGAUCAUUAACCUCCUGUGAACUAGAUUGAUUAACAAUAUUUUGAAAUAUUUUUCUAAUGUUACAUCAGUUGACAAAGAUUGAAAUUUUCUACCCGAGGAUAAAAGAUAUUAAAAAAAUUCUACAUAUCUAGCUUCAAUAAUGUAAUUUUACUACAAAUUAAGAAGUUGAUAACCUUUUAUAUUUGAGGCAUAACCUAUAAAUGCACACUUGAUCCCUCUAGGGCCCAACUUGGUCCAAUUUUGAUCAUUACUUUUGCAAUAUGCAAGACACCCUCUGUAACGAUCCGAUUAGUCGUUUUCAGCAUUAAGGCUCCGUUCAUUGGUUCGAGUUUGCUAUUGACUUCAUGUUGUGAAUUAUGGCUUGCGUACAUGGUCGGAUUUGAUUUUCGGAUGUUUCAGGAUGUAUUUGGAUGAGUGAUUCUUACUUUAGAGGUUUAAGUUGAAAAUAAUGACUAUGAUUUGACUUUUGAUAAACGACACCGGAACAAUGCUUUUAUGGCUCCGAAAACUUCAUACUGUGAUUUUGGACUAGGGCGCAUGCCCGAAAUCGAAUUCGAAGGUCUGUAGGUUGAUAAUUUGUGUUGUUUUGCCAAAUAUUGGCAAUUUAAAGGAUUAGAAUUUUGAUAAGUUUGACCGUUGGUUGACUUCACAGCUAUUUUGUUUAGAUUUCUAUUUCAGGAAUUGGAAUAGGUCCGUUUUGUCAUUAAAAAUUUAUCUGCAAAGUCUGGCGUCAUUCAUAGUUGAUUUGAUAGGAAUCAGACGUGCGGUUGUAUUUUUAGAAGUUCCGGAGUUUCAUGUGUUUUGGAGGUCCGAUUCAUUGAUUCAAAUGUUAUUUUGAUGAUUUGAUCGCGCGAGCAAGUUCAGUUUAUGUUUUUAGACUCGUCUCGAUGUUUUCUUUGCAGCCCUAAGGGCUCGGGUGAGUUUCAGACGCAUUUCUGAGAGUUCAUUGAAAGUUCAGAUUUUGCUGGUGCUCUGAUCUCACAAUUGCGAGAAAUAUGUCACGUUUUCAACUAUCACAUUUGUGGUGUUGAUGGUCAAUUUUGACCCUUCCUUUUAAAAUUAAUUUAUUCAUACUUAAAUAUCUACAAUAAAUAUUUUAAAAGUAUUUUCCAUCAAUAAAUAGUUGUUUUAUAAAACAAAUUGAAUAUUAGUUUCGAAAUUAAUCACCUAUAAUUAACAUUAUGUAAUUAUGAAUUUACUUACUACAUUAAACAUCAUUAAAAAAAUUCUAAAAUACACCAUCUAGGCUUUAUAAUUAAUUUCGUGAAUUAUUUCUUAAAAUCCAAUUAAUUAGAUUGUUCUGUUAGAAAUUAGUGUUAUAAUUUAGAAUACAAAGUAUUUUAGAAAUAAUUAACAAAAAUAAUUGGUAGUAUAUUUAGUGAUUAUAAUUUCUACUAUAUUUUAUUGAAAUUGUUUAAAUUAAUUUUAAGGGGGUUAAAAGGUGAAAAGGCUACAAUUGCAAAUCUCUAAUUAAACACAAGAUGACCAUCCUUUAAAUUCAUUUGGCCCAAAUGACAAGCCCAACCUGGAAAAAGCACCUAGUCUAAAGACCCUCUAAGCCAUUGUGGCGAUCCGCAUCUGUCACUACCCAAAAUUCAACUAGCCGUGAUCGCACCUAAACCAAUCCGCUAAGUAAGUCAAUUAAUAAUAAACCAAUUCCAGUGUAAUUUGAAGAGACAAUAAUGAUGAAAUAACUGUGCUUUUAUACAAAAUCCCAAGGACUGGUAGUACAAAUCACGAGCUUCUAAGAUUUAGAGUUUAGAAAGCUGGUAUGACCGGAAUGCAGGUAUGUCUUCAAUGCUAGCUCCCGCCAUACACAGCAACAUCAGCAUAAAUAAUCUGCACGCAAAGUGCAGAAGUGUAAUAUGAGUACAACCAACUCCAUGUACUCAAUAAGUAACAAAUCUAACCUUAUGUUGAAAGUAGUGACGAGCUUGGACAAGAUCGGAGUCCAAGACCAAUAGUCAACAACAUUUCAUAACAAUAUAAUAAAAGUGAUAAAAGAAGUAACCCAGAGAUGUGAUGCUCAGCUCAUUAACAGUUACUUAAAAUAGUCAUACUUCUCAGGUAUAACAGUAAAACCUAAAUCCUUCACCAAAAUAAACCAAAAUACGUGUAAGUCAGAAACCUUUGAUAUUUCCCAAAAAACCUUCAACAAUAAAUAAGAUGUUUCAUUAUCAGAUAGCAUAAGGAAAGUACUUCUCUAUGCCUACAUAUAAGUGUGCACGUGAAAUCAUGAAUGUCACCAAAACUGUGUAGAAUGAGAAAAUGCAUCUCGAUGCAUGUACGCCAAGUAUGCAUGUCAAAUGCAAUGCAUCACAGCGAUGAACUCAUGUACUCAUUGUCACGACCCAAAAUCCAACUAGUCAUGAUGACACCUAACCCAACCCGCUAGGUAAGUCAAGUAACAACUAUCCAAUUUCAUGAGAUUGAUUAAGAGAAGAAAUGACAAUACAACUGCUUUUAUACAAGAACUUCCCAAGGACUGGUCGUAGAAAUCAUGAGCUUCUAAGAUUUAGAUUUUUUUACAAGACUGAAUUGAAAUAAUUACAACAUCUGCUUGAAAUGUAAAUGAAUAGAACACGAAAACAAUGCUACCAAGGACAAGUGAUAGUUAUCAGUAGAAUGCAGGUACAUCUUCAGAGCCAGCUCCCGUCGUAUGCAAUAACAUCAGCAUCCAACAUAUGCACGCAAGGUGUAGAAGUGUAGGAGAUGAAUAGGAGUGAUGUUUCUUCUACUUGGACAUUCAUGCAUCAUAUAUCCCCUUCCUUUACAUUUAUAACAUUGAAUAGAACUAGAAGGUGUAGAAGGUUUAGAGUUAAAGCACAAAUGUUACAUCCCACAUUUUCACACGUUAAAGGUGUCGUGAUUUAGUUGUCAUACGAUCAGAGAUCAAGAUUAUUCUCAAGUUCAGGAGUGUCUAAAACCAUGCAUGGUGUUGAUAACCAAUUUUUCCCUCAUAUAUUUCAUAUAUGCAUAUAAACUUUCAAAAUAGUGCAUGAGCAUCAUCAAUAUUUUUUCCUAAUAUUUUCAUAAAUUUAAAAGAUUUUUAAUUAAUUUAUUCCCAUAUUUUAUUGUGUAAAUAAUUAUUAAUUGCAUAACAGAUAAUUUAUAUGAUUAUCUUAUUAUCUAAUCUCACCAUUUAUAUCCAUAUUAAGGCUUAAAUAUUUUUUUAUACAUUUAUCACAAAUAGAUUUGCAUUUUUAAGGCUAAAAUUGUACAUUUUGCAAUAAUAGCCUGUAUAUACUUAUAAUUACAUUAUUUUUGCAAUUUUUUUAUAUUUUUAUAGUGUUAAAUAAUUAUCAUUAAUCGUUUUUAUGAACAAAUAAUAUUUUUACUAAUUUAUUUAUCAUUUUUUACAAAUUCUUUUAUUAAUUAAAUUUGGUAUUUAACUAAUAGCCACUAAAUUCACUAAUUUCGGACCUAAACUACCAACGCCUUAGCCCAUUUACCUAAAACACCUACCCAAAUUCUUGUCCCAAUACUUAAGCCCAAUCCAUAACCCAGUCCGAAACCAACCCAGCCCUUCAACGGCUCAUAUCACUCCCUUCCUUUUAAUUAACCUACCUAUCCCAAACCCUAACCCUCAUUAUCUUAGCCCCUCGCUCUUUAUAAUAUCUCGAACCUUCACCUCAUUCUAUCAAACCCUAGCGUCGUCACCCUCAAAUCUCUCCCAUUCCGGCUCAAACAUGGAAUCAGUCCAUGAUUUACUUACCUAUUUUGUGUUACUCUAUCAUUAUACGCUCGUCUAUGGUGUUACUUAGAUUCUAUCCCUAUUUUUGGCAAGAACUACCUCAAUAAAGAAUAGAUUCACCCUGAUUUUGUGAAGAUCGGGAUGAUCUUUCGUCGAUAUAUAUGUUUUAUUGAACGAUUAUUGCAUCUCUGGUCCGAUUCAAAGCAUCGGUCUCAACUAGGGUUUGAGACCUUUCCUUGUUCUUUAUUAAUUUCUGAUUGAUACUCUUUCCUUUCUCGCAUGUGACUAAUAUUUUCCUUAUUUGUGUUCAAUCUACCGUGUUUCCUUUAUUUUUACCUUAUUUGCCUUAAAUAUGAUAGUUAAUCGAUUCUUAUGUGAUAUUUUCCUUAUUCUCUAUUGUAUACCCUUAUUUUAAUUGUUACUCGCCUGAUUACAUGCUAGUAUUCUCUGUUAAUAUACUGAACUCUUUGUUUAUGUAUUAUUUGCCCUAAAAAAUUAGAUCCUAAUUGAUUCUUUGUUUAAUACUUACCAUGUUUCAUGUUUAUACUAUACUACUAUAUAAACCCCUUCCCUUUAUCAUUUAGGACAGACUAGAAAUCAAUAUACCCUCACUGAUAAAGUUAAGAUUUGGCUUUGUGCUCUCUUUGCUAUCUCGUUCUAUCUAUGGUUUGGCCGGCUGAAAGCCAAGGCCAAAUAUUCUGGGUUCUCGACUAUUGUAGUGUUAUUCUUACUUUUCUUGCCUAACUGGUGAGUGAAUAUCUUUUGUCAUUUCAUUCCUAUGUAUCCAUGACCUGUGUUUAUGAUCUAACAUGUUUACAAUCCAUUUUGAGCAUGAUUCUACUACUUCUAUGUUCCUAUGAUUUCCUUUAGACCUAUAAUUGAUACUGUUAGUUCUAAGAUUAGUUGUUUUAUAAUAGUGUGAAUCCUCUUAGAGGUUAACUUAAUGACUUUUAAAUUAUUUCAUUUAUGUUGUUUUGGUAGUUCUGAAUGUAUUGUGAACUUAGGAUCUUCAUGAUAAUACUAGUAUGUUCACCAGUUAAUCAGUCUUAAGUCUUUACAAUCUUGUAUUGUUAUUAAACCUUUCUCUGUCAUUCAUGUGCCCUGAUAACUUACCUUCUAAUGUGUUUUGUAUCCACUUAGAUUCAUGUGAUUAUCUGAUUGUUUGCCUUAAUGCAUCGUUUAAAUGUUUUCUGUGAUUGAACCAAGCUGUCUUAAAAUGUUAGCAUGUACACUUAGCCUAAUUAGGCCAUUCAGACUUUAAGUCAUUAGAUACUGUGCAUGAACAACUUUGCAAAUCUUACCAAUUUGUCUUCUCAAUGCAAUUCGGCCUAUGUAUUAUGUGUUUUAAACUCUGUCACGAUGGCUUUUUUUAAAAUCAAACCUGUCUUAAAAAUUGUCUCUUUGUGUGUUGCUACCUUAAACUCCUAUUCUUAGGUCCUGUAGGUUCUAUCUUUUACCUCCCCAGUGUGAGCACUGCUCGGGGUCCAUGUGAGACUCUUGUGUACUCUGACACACUAGGGUUUGGUUCCUAACCUCCUUUGAAUUAUUUCUGAGCAUUUGUUCCUCUAGUGUGAGCAUUGCCCUGUGUCCUUGAAGCCCUUGGAAACUUUGACACACUAGAGAUUUGGAUACUAUUGUGAUUAUUCUAUACCUGUGAAUGUGAGCUUUGGAGCUACUAUGGUUUGAAGGCCUAGGUUGCCCUGGUGUAUUUGGGCCUGUUGUAGUCUCUCUAUAGUUUAUUUCAUUAUUAUGUAAUUCAUUCAUUAAUCUGGUUUGCAAUAAUUUUGUAACAAACAACUCUGGGGUAUUUAGUAAAAUCGAGAAGGGUUUCUUAUUUUCAUUUGCCAAAUCGGGUAGAAAUCAUGCCUAUGUGAUCUCACCUGUACUGUUUCAUACCAUGAUUAUAAGUCCUAUAUUAUAUUAACAUACUAGAGAUCAUGCCUAUAGGAUCAAUAUUCGUAUUAAUUAUUUUCUGUCUCAAUGUGUAUAAAUUCAUGCUCAUAUACUGUCGCAUUCUAAAAAUCAUGCCUAUAGGGUUAAAAUUAGCGCAAUUAUAGAAAUCAUGCCUAUAGAAUUAAAAUCCGUUCGAUGCUAGAAAUCAUGCAUAUAGGAAUAAAAUUAGCUCAAUGCUAGAAAUCAAGUCUAUCGGAUUAAAACUAGUUCAAACCUAGAAAUCAUGCCUAUAGGGUAAUAAUCACCAUACUCGUAGAAAUCAUGCUUAUAUGAUUCUAUUAACUUGUUCGAAAUUCGAUUAUCACUUCUAAUCAAUUAGACAAUAUGCCUAUAGUGUUUAACAAUAAUUCUUGACUUAUGAUUGUGAUUUAUUGUUGAGACGCCCAUAUACUGUACUGAAUAAAAACCAGUAGGAAAAUAUACGUAGGACCUAACACUUACUUUAAGAACUGACUCAACAUACUAUUGCUCGCUUGUUCAUCACAUAGAUAUCCUGCCCAUAGGACUCAAAGAUUAAUAAAUCCUGCUACAUCAGUUGCGUGCAUUUGUUGUUUACAUGCGGAGGUUAACGUGAGCCCAUAUCUGUCUUUAUUUGAAAAGUCCUAAUUUUUUUACUUGUCACCUAGUAUUUUAUAAUUUUGAGCAACUUAAGUUUAGUCUAGAACCUUCCUAAAUAGAGGUCCCAACGCCUCCUGGACCAUAGGCAUGGGACGGGUAGUGCACACAUAUGGUACGGUUUAGAAUCAACUAGUAUGCUUUAGGUAAACAACUUAAAGAUAGUAAUCGAGUAGCAAGAGAUGAUAGUCUGUGCUCGCUGAAUAAUACGAGUAACACCCUGACUCGAGGAAGUUACGAAGUAUUAUUUAUGUUGCACGGGGUGAUCCUUUAGGCUAAAAAAUUUAGGACCCCCCAUCCUUAUUAAAUAAUCCUCUCACUUAUUUAUUAGACUAAUUCAUAAUUGAGUUCGAUCGGGACCCACCAUUGUGGACCCCGAUAGGUGCCUAAAACCUUCCCCUCAAGGUAAUUUGAGCCCUUACCCGAUCUCUAGUGAUGCAAACUGGUAUAAUCUGAGUUAUUUGCUAUAGGUGCCCUAACGCACCUUAAUCCGUUAGGUGGCGACUCAAACAACCAAUUCCUUUUCCCUAUUCUCUCAAAAGGAUUUUCCAAAAUGUCAAAAUCCUAUUUCGCGAGAAAAAGGGGGCGCGACACAGAGCACUUGUUGGAAGGUCUAGAAGUUAAACAAAUAGAAGCAAAUAAGUUUUGUCGAAAAUCGACACGUUGGGAAUGUUAUAACCUGUAAUUUUUGGGUAAUACUAUGAGUAUUUAAAAUAAUAUGAAGGCCAUAUUAUGAGGUAUUUGAAUCUUAUAAUAGUUUUAUGUUAUGUUUUCAAGUAAAUAGAGUUGUAAAAGAAAAGUCGGGAAAGUAUUCACAAGUUACAUUUAUAAAUUAACUGUAUAUUUGCGUCAAAUGUUGAAAAGAUUUUCUCCCAAUAUAUUUGGAAUUACGGGAUGGUCCACACACCAAAUUGGAUUCUAUGAGUUUAAUUUUAAACUCAUUAAACUGCUUAUAAAUACAAUAUCAGAGUAGUGAGAUAUUCAUAUUUUUUGCAAGACUACGCGAGCAACUCCUUUUGGGACCUAUAAAGUCGAUGAGAGCUUAUCUUGUUAUAUAUAGUGGUGGCAAUCAUGUCCAAGCCACAUUUUCGGCCCAACUCAGAUCUAAAAGUCUCUCCAAAUUUCUAAACGUAUGCUUAGGGUUUGGAAGUCAAAUCAAAGGUGGAGAAGGUGAAACAAGGGGACUUAUUCCUUAGGAACCCGAACUAGUCGAUAGUUCGCCUCUUUCUCUGCGUAGCUGAUUGAGGAAGGUAUAGAAACGAAGUAAGCUCUGCCAAUUGGGUAUUUGUGUGCUAUAAGGCAUAUUCCCCCCCCCCCCCCCUUUUACUUGGGUAGAGUCAUUUUUAGGCCAUAGCAGGCCUAGAUGUUGAAGGAAAACAUGUUAAACUUGAAGUUAGAAGUAUGUUUGAGGUGUUGUGUGUAUGAGACUGUUUUGGAAGCUUUUUGAGCUAGGUUUCGGCUGAUUUUUGAUGUAGGGGCUUGGAUGUAUUAUUUUUUAUGGCAUUCCUAUUGUUUUGGUGCUAGUUUUAGUUGGAUGGAAGCGGAAUUUUAUAUGGGAAAUGAUGUCUGAGUUUCUAUAAGUGCCUUUAGCUUAGAAACAUGUUUGUAAGUCCUUAUAUGGAAUUAAUUAUAAGUUUUAAUGUCUUAAUGUAGAUUGAAGUAUUCAGGAAUAUAUAUGAUGAGUUAUAAAAUAAAUGAAAAAGGUAUAUUAAGGCUCACCCCUUUUUGAGACCACUUCCCACCUUGAUAGUCUUUAAUCUUAUAUCUUCCUACGAUCCUUGUUGACUUCCAAAAAAUUAAUAAAGAUACAGUUACAUAACGAUUAUUGGAGGAUAACAACCUCGAGUCACUACAAUCAUAUCCAUAAGGUCCUUCAGAGUUAUUUCUUGCAUUGCACUUAUAUAUAUAUAUCUAUUUUCUUACUGAAGUGAUCUAUAGUCGGCUAGGUACGACAAUUAUAUUUGCACACCUUUGCAAUUGGUUUUGAAAUUACUGAGUCAUACUAAGGCUUGGUACGGCCGAGUCCUCCUCGAGGCUAGGUAUGUUAUGUUAUGACAUGAUUUUCCCUGCAGAGUGGCUUGAUAAUAUAUUAUAGGCAGUAUUGAGUGGCUUGAUAAUAUAUUAUAUGGCAGUAUUGAGUGGCUUGAUUCUUAUAGACAUACAUAAAUAUCCAUGAUUAUGAUAGUGUAUGCCCUUAGAGGCUUUUUAAGAGUUUCAAGUUGACUUCUAUCUCUUCCUUCACAUUCCAUAUUUUAUUUAUGUGUGUUACCUAACUUGCAAAUUUAGUAUAUCUUUCGUAUUGAUGACCCCUUGUUGGGGAGCUGUGUUUCAUGCCUGUAGGUCCAUAUAUUGAUUCAGACAAUACCUCAUAGUAAGUGACUCGACUCAGGAAAUAGUUACCACGCUCCCUUCUUUCGGAGCCGUUUAGCGAGCUGAUAGCUAUAGUGGUCAUAUAUAUAUACAUAUUGGGCAGUUCAAGGUCCCGACCAGAUGUUGUUGAUGCAUUCUCUAGAGGCUUGCAGACAAUCGUCUUGUAUAUAGUAGUCGCGUGUGGCUUUCUCGGCCUUCUUUAUGGACCCGUUGUAUUUAUAUUUUCCUUGUCGGCCUUGUUGUAUAUAUACAUAUGUUGGGCGUUUUUGCAUGCAGUAGUUUGUGUCUUUUGAUCAAGUAAUCACUCGUUAGGGUCCUUGUCAACCCAUGUAUGGUUGAGUAUAUUACAGCUAUUAGGAUUGGUACGCUUGGGCCUUAGGGAACCGAGUGCCAACCAUAACCGCCAAAGAUGGGUUGUGACAAACUUGGUAUGAAAGCCGGUCUGUCCUAGGGAUGUCUACAAGCCCUGUCUAGUAAAGUCUUGUUUAUGGGUGUGUUGCGUGCCACACUUAUAAACUAGAUGUUAUGGGGCAUUUAGGAUGGUUAAUGUUCCUUUAUGUUCUAGAUCGUGCGAUAGAACCGAGUCACAUGGAAUGAAAAUUUUAACCCUAAUCCUUAUUUGUCUUAUAGCUGAGAGAUGACAUCCAUAAGACGGACCACAUGUGAUCCAAGGGAUGUGACGGAGAUGGAGGUGGAAGUAAGUUACUUCAUUAAUAUAGACGUAUCUGAGGUUAUGUCUUUUGUUGAGAUGGACCCAUCAAAGAUUAUGCCCUCUAUCGAGAUAGAUCCAUAUGAGAUAUGAGAGGAGUCACCACUAUGGGAUUCUCCGACCCCGAUGGUAUUAGAACAACCAGGAAGAGCUCCAAUUUCACUAGUUUCCCUAAGGCCCUAGUUGAGCGAGAAGCAAGGUGGGAAACACUAGUGUUGACUAGAUAAGUUGAUCCCCAAACCCCAUACUAUGAUGUCUUACCAGAAGAUGUGGGAGCUUUUAAGGAUUUGCGAAGUCAACGGUUUUGGGAGUCACUUAACCAGGACUCUCCAACAUCCAUAGAACAAGACACAUAUGAGGGUAAUAGUCGAACCAUAACGGCUAGAGUAAUGGGUACAUUCAUAGGACUCCCAAGCGACGACAAAUAGCAAUUAGAAGGACAAAAAGUUGGAGGACUUUCCCCGAUUAUGUUAGAACUAUUUGUGCCAGAUAAGGGAUCUAGGGUAGGGCCAUUGCAAGGUUCACAUGUAUCGGGAUCUCAGGACCAAAGUGAGUUAUGAUGGAAGUUGUACUUACCAUUUUGAUAAAAUUUCUUUAUACCCAUGAGUGUGAUCUUGAAAUGUCAUAUGUUAUACUGUGAUGAUAGUUCAUAAAUCUUUGCCGGUACGGCUAAGAGGGAAAAGUGUAAUUAUUAAAGGUAAUGACUUAGUGUGACGACCCGGCCAGUCGUCUCAUGAGUUACCACUUUGUUUCCCCUAUUGUUUCUUCUUGUUGCUUUAUUUAUUGGUUUUAUAUGUUAUCGGGUUGGUUGGCUCGGGUUCGGAAACAUUUUGAGAAGGUUUGAGAUAAUUAGUCUCUUUUGAGGAAGCUUAAGUUGGAAAAGUCAACCGGAUGUUGACUUAUAUGUUAGAGGGCUUGAAUAUGAGUUUUGGUGGUUCGGAUAACUUUAGGAGGUGAUUUGGGACUUAGGAGCAUGAUCGGAAUGUGUUUUGGAGGUCUGGAAUAAUUUUAGGCUGGAAUUGGUGAAAUUGGAUUUUUGGCAUUUUCCGGUUGAUAGGUGAGAUUUUGAUAUAGGGGUCAGAAUGGAAUUCCGAGAGUUGCAGUAGUUCUGUUAUGUCAUUUGGGUUGUGUGUGCAAAAUUUCAGGUCAUUUGGUCGUGGUUUGGUUGGUUUUUUUUUUUAUCAAAAGCGUAAUUUAGAAGAUUUUGGAAUUCUUAGGCUUGAAUCCGAUGUGAAUUUGGUGUUUUGAUGUUGUUUUGAGCGUUCCGAAGGUUAGAACAAGUUUGAAUGAUGUUAUGGGAGAUGUUGGCAUUUUUGGUUGAGGUCCCGGGGGCCUCGGGUGAGUUUCGGGUGAUCAAUCGGACCAUUUCAUGUUUUUGAAAAAUGUAAAAAAUUGUUGUUUAGUGUUGCAGAGAAAUGACCUUCGUGUUCGCGAGUAGGCCCUUGCGUUGGCAAAGGGCUGGGAUAUUGUGCAUCACAUUCGCGAGGCUGUGCCGCAUUCGCAUAGAGGAAGUUGAGCAGCUGGGGUUCAGGUAGAAUUGUUCAUCGCGUUUGCAAGAAAGGGAGCGCGUUCGCAAAGGUUGGGCUGAGGAACCAUCACGUUUGCGAGGAACCGGUCGCGUUCGCAUAAGAGGAAAAAUUUGGUCAAAGUUAGAUUGUUCUUCGCGAACACGAUGCGUUGACCGUUAUCGCAAAGAUGGUUUGGAGGCCUGGGGAGAAUGUUUAAAUAGUCAUCUUGUCCACGAUUUUGGGGUUAAUUUCCACCAUUUUUGAACAAUUUUGGAGGUUUUUGAAGAGGAUUGAAGAGGGAUUCUAGGGGAAACACUUGGAGGUAAGAUUUAUGGACUUAAUACUCGAUUCUAAUGUGAAUUCUACCUAAUUAAUCAUGGAAAUUAAGCUUAAUAUUGAAGAACUAGGGCUUGUAAUUGGAGACCUAGAAUUUGGGAUUUGAGGGGUCGUUUGUUGUUAGAUUUUGAUACUUUUGGUAUGAAUGAACUCGGGGAGUGAUAAGGAGUCCAUUGAUGUAAUUUUUAUCGAAAUCCGAGACGUGGGCCCGGGGGUCAGGUUUGGCCAAUUUCGGGUUUUGUGUGGUAAUUUGCUUUCUUUCGAGUGGGAUUUGUUCCCUUAGCCUAUUUUGAUGGUUUUGCAUUGAUUUUGGUUAGAUUUGUAGCAUCCGGAGGCCGAUUCAAGGGGCAAAGGCAUCGCAGGCUAGAUAUUUGGACCGGGUAGAGGUGAGUAAUGAUUUUAAAUGUUGUCCUGAGGGUAUGAAACCACGGAUUGCACAUUGUUGUGCUAUAUUAAGGUGAUGUACACACUAGAUGACAAGCGUAGGGUCGUGCACUAUUGGGGAUUGUGACUUAGUCCAUCUCGAAUGAUUAUUUUACCGCGUAUUAGACAAAAAACUGUUUGCUAUCAUCAUCUUUUGGGCUGAAUGCCAUAUUUGGGCCUUGUCCCAACUAUUUGAACCCUUAGGGGAUUUUUAUUGAUAUUUCCUCACUGUUUGGACUUUAUACUUGAACUCAGUUAUGCUAUAUUCUAUUGUUUUCGUAACUCAGGCAUGUUUACUCUACUUUAACACUUCAAAAUUAUAUUUUGGGCUGAGCAUCAUGUUUUACUGUUGCCCGAGUGACUUGUGAGAUUCUGACCAAGUAAGGCCGAGGGCCUAUGUUGUGAGGAAACACUUAUUAUGAUUAUGAGGCCGAGGGCCUGAGAUUUGCACGCCAUGAGGUGGCUUAUUGAUAUGAGGUCGAGAGCCUAUGUGAUUAUGCCACGAGGUGGCUUGAUAUUGCCCUUGGGCCAUAAGGGACCCCUCCAGGAGUCUGCACACCCCCAGUGAGUGCGGGUACCCAUUGUGAUGUGAGAUAUAGCCCGAGGGGCUGGUUAUUGUUCCAUGUGUUGCCCGAGGGGGUGAUUCUGUUAGUAUUGUGCCCGAGGGGCGUUUCUUUAUGUGUUUACCUUUUCUAGUUGCAUGUCUUUUACUUGCUUAGCUAUUUAAAAAGGCAUUUUAUAAGCUUAAACUAAACUAAAGUGACUUUGCAUAUUUUCACUGUUUCAUUACUUUUACUGGCUUUUACUGCUUCUUUAUAGCCUGUGAUGUGCCUUACAUGAUUUCUUAUUUCUCAGUCUUCAUUUAUUAUUAUUUCUCACUGAGUUGGAGUACUCCCUUUACUCCCUACAGCCCGUGUGCAGAUUCAGGCAUUGCAGGUUCUGCUUGCGAGGGUUGAGAGCUCCCGACAGAUUUUGGAGUUCAUAAGGUAGCUGCCUGGCAUUCGCAGCCCCGUGCUUCUUCCCCCUAUCUCAUUUUUUUUCUCUUGUUAGUGAUUCUAUAAUAGCUGUGUAGACUCUUCAGACUUGUAGUAUAUUGAUAGAUGCUCAUGACUGGUGACACCCCGAUGUCGGGCUUUGUUGGUUUUAAUUCCGCAAAUUGUACUUUUCACUGCUUAUUUUGGGAUUUUAUCAUGUUAAAGACUUAAUACUUAUUAUUUUAAUUGCUUAAAAUGAAGUGGGAAUGUGUCGGCUGGCCUUGUCUUCACGAGAGGCUCCAUCACGACCGGGUUCGAGUUUCGGUUCAUGACAAUUUGGUAUCAGAGCAUAGGUUACAUAGGUCUCACGAGUCAUGAGCAGGUUUAGUAGAGUCUCGUAGAUCAGUGCGGAGACAUCUGUAUUUAUCCUCGAGAGGCUGCAAAACCUUUAGGAAAAACUUCAUAUGCUUGAAAUUCUUGUCAUGCGUAUUUGUUGAUUCGAGUACUAAACUUAUGUUAUUCUAUUCUCUCACAGAUGGUGAGAACACGCGCUACGGGUCAGGAUGGAUGACCACCAGUACCACUAGAUAUGGCCACUAGAGUACGAGGACACGGUCGUGGUCGCGGU
This 15287-nucleotide long non-coding RNA is filed under the name Nicotiana tabacum (common tobacco). Its description in RNAcentral is "long non-coding RNA (NTAB_LNC000182)". The record is from RNAcentral. Lineage: Eukaryota; Viridiplantae; Streptophyta; Magnoliopsida; Solanales; Solanaceae.